UACAGAGGAUGCAAGCGUUAUCCGGAAUUAUUGGGCGUAAAGCGUCCUAUGGUGGUUUGGUAAGUUUGCUGUUAAAGCCCUUUGCUUAACGAAGGAAAAGCAGUGAAAACUACCAGACUAGAGUAUGUUAGGGGCAGAGGGAAUUCCCAGUGUAGCGGUGAAAUGCGUAGAGAUUGGGAAGAACACCGGUGGCGAAAGCGCUCUGCUAGAACAAUACUGACACUGAUGGACGAAAGCUAGGGGAGCGAAUGGG
RNAcentral lists this ribosomal RNA (253 nucleotides) under uncultured Nostocales cyanobacterium. RNAcentral's name for it is "partial 16S ribosomal RNA". It matches the Rfam family "Bacterial small subunit ribosomal RNA", at positions 524 to 776 of the family's 1533-position model. Lineage: Bacteria; Bacillati; Cyanobacteriota; Cyanophyceae; Nostocales. The record is from RNAcentral.